AGUGAACGCUGGCGGUAGGCCUAACACAUGCAAGUCGAACGGCAGCACAGUAAGAGCUUGCUCUUACGGGUGGCGAGUGGCGGACGGGUGAGGAAUACAUCGGAAUCUACUUUUUCGUGGGGGGCAACGAAGGGAAACUUACGCUAAUACCGCAUACGACCUACGGGUGAAAGCAGGGGAUCUUCGGACCUUGCGCGAUUGAAUGAGCCGAUGUCGGAUUAGCUAGUUGGCGGGGUAAAGGCCCACCAAGGCGACGAUCCGUAGCUGGUCUGAGAGGAUGAUCAGCCACACUGGAAGUGAGACACGGUCCAGACUCCUACGGGAGGAAGCAGUGGGGAAUAUUGGACAAUGGGCGCAAGCCUGAUCCAGCCAUACCGCGUGGGUGAAGAAGGCCUUCGGGUUGUAAAGCCCUUUUGUUGGGAAAGAAAAGCAGCAGGUUAAUACCCCGCUGUUCUGACGGUACCCAAAGAAUAAGCACCGGCUAACUUCGUG
This 492-nucleotide ribosomal RNA is filed under the name uncultured bacterium. Its description in RNAcentral is "partial 16S ribosomal RNA". It matches the Rfam family "Bacterial small subunit ribosomal RNA", at positions 29 to 507 of the family's 1533-position model. The record is from RNAcentral.